Molecule: transfer RNA, 81 nt
Filed under: Gemmobacter caeni
Lineage: Bacteria; Pseudomonadati; Pseudomonadota; Alphaproteobacteria; Rhodobacterales; Paracoccaceae
Description: tRNA-Leu
Rfam family: tRNA
About the family: Transfer RNA (tRNA) molecules are approximately 80 nucleotides in length. Their secondary structure includes four short double-helical elements and three loops (D, anti-codon, and T loops).
Source: RNAcentral
GCGGGUGUGGCGGAACGGCAGACGCGGGGGUCUCAAACACCCCUGUCGCAAGACGUGCCGGUUCGAGUCCGGCGGCCCGCA